RNAcentral lists this long non-coding RNA (401 nucleotides) under Androctonus crassicauda. Lineage: Eukaryota; Metazoa; Arthropoda; Arachnida; Scorpiones; Buthidae. The record is from RNAcentral.
UUGUAAUGGAUAUUUUCAUUGUUGUUUUUUCUCAUUCUGUAAAAGCAAAAAUAAACUUUUAUAAUGAAUGUUUUGAUUACAUUUUUCAUUUUAUAGAAGAUACAAUAGAUAGGGUUCUUUUUUUUAUAAUGACUAGUUCGAUUACAUGUGUUAUUCACUUUGCCCGGGUACCCCGGGCAAAACGAAUAAUGCACAACAUUUCUUUGCUCUGCAGAUAUUGCAAAUUCUAAACGGAAUUUAUUCUCAAAGAAUGUUCAGCAUUAAACAAUAGGAAGUAAUGUAACAAAUAAACAAUAAAACAUUUAUCUUUAUAUAAUUUUUAUGUUUGAAAUUAUGCAUGAAAAUUAAGCUAUUCACUUUGCCCGGACUUCCCCUACAAUAGGCAAUAUGAUCAAUAGGAA